CCUACGGGAGGCUGCAGUGGGGGAUAUUGCACAAUGGGGGAAACCCUGAUGCAGCGACGCCGCGUGGGCGAAGAAGUAUUUCGGUAUGUAAAGCCCUAUCAGCAGGGAAGAAGAAAUGACGGUACCUGAGUAAGAAGCACCGGCUAAAUACGUGCCAGCAGCCGCGGUAAUACGUAUGGUGCAAGCGUUGUCCGGAUUUACUGGGUGUAAAGGGCGUGCAGCCGGGAAGACAAGUCAGAUGUGAAAUCCCGCGGCUCAACCGCGGAACUGCAUUUGAAACUGUUUUUCUUGAGUACCGGAGAGGUCAUCGGAAUUCCUUGUGUAGCGGUGAAAUGCGUAGAUAUAAGGAAGAACACCAGUGGCGAAGGCGGAUGACUGGACGGCAACUGAUGGUGAGGCGCGAAAGCGUGGGGAGCAAACAGGAUUAGAUACCCUGGUAGUC
This 442-nucleotide ribosomal RNA is filed under the name uncultured bacterium. RNAcentral's name for it is "partial 16S ribosomal RNA". It matches the Rfam family "Bacterial small subunit ribosomal RNA", at positions 338 to 795 of the family's 1533-position model. The record is from RNAcentral.